AUUGAACGCUGGCGGCAUGCCUUACACAUGCAAGUCGAACGGCAGCACGGGAGCAAUCCUGGUGGCGAGUGGCGAACGGGUGAGUAAAGUAUCGGAACGUGCCCAGUCGUGGGGGAUAACGUAGCGAAAGUUACGCUAAUACCGCAUACGAUCUAUGGAUGAAAGCGGGGGAUCGCAAGACCUCGCGCGAUUGGAGCGGCCGAUAUCAGAUUAGGUAGUUGGUGGGGUAAAGGCUCACCAAGCCGACGAUCUGUAGCUGGUCUGAGAGGACGACCAGCCACACUGGGACUGAGACACGGCCCAGACUCCUACGGGAGGCAGCAGUGGGGAAUUUUGGACAAUGGGCGAAAGCCUGAUCCAGCCAUGCCGCGUGCGGGAUGAAGGCCUUCGGGUUGCAAACUGCUUUUGUACGGAACGAAAAGGUUUGGCCUAAUAAGCUGAGCUCAUGACGGUACCGUAAGAAUAAGCACCGGCUAACUACGUGCCAGCCGCCGCAGUAA
RNAcentral lists this ribosomal RNA (500 nucleotides) under uncultured bacterium. Its description in RNAcentral is "partial 16S ribosomal RNA". It matches the Rfam family "Bacterial small subunit ribosomal RNA", at positions 30 to 523 of the family's 1533-position model. The record is from RNAcentral.